RNAcentral lists this ribosomal RNA (512 nucleotides) under uncultured bacterium. RNAcentral's name for it is "partial 16S ribosomal RNA". It matches the Rfam family "Bacterial small subunit ribosomal RNA", at positions 28 to 507 of the family's 1533-position model. The record is from RNAcentral.
GAUGAACGCUGGCGGCGUGCCCAAUACAUGCAAGUCGAACGAAACUUCUUUAUCACCGAGUGCUUGCACUCACCGGUAAAGAGUUGAGUGGCGAACGGGUGAGUAACACGUGGGCAACCUGCCCAAAAGAGGGGGAUAACACUUGGAAACAGGUGCUAAUACCGCAUAACCAUAGUUACCGCAUGGUAACUAUGUAAAAGGUGGCUAUACUACCGCUUUUGGAUGGGCCCGCGGCGCAUUAGCUAGUUGGUAGGGUAAAGGCUUACCAAGGCAAUGAUGCGUAGACGAAUUGAUAGGUUGAUCUGCCACAAUGGGAAUGAGACGCGGCCCUAAAUCCUACGGGAGGCAGCAGUAGGGAAUCUUCCACAAUGGGCGAAAGCCUGAUGGAGCAACGCCGCGUGGGUGAAGAAGGUCUUCGGAUCGUAAAACCCUGUUGUUAGAGAAGAAAGUGCGUGAGAGUAACUGUUCACGUUUCGACGGUAUCUAACCAGAAAGCCACGGGUAACUACGUG